AUCCAGCUAACGAGUACCAAAUAGGACGAAACGAUCGUCCAACUGGAU
Schistosoma rodhaini is the source of this 48-nucleotide non-coding RNA. The record is from Rfam. NCBI's taxonomy places the organism in Eukaryota, Metazoa, Platyhelminthes, Trematoda, Strigeidida, Schistosomatidae.